This 732-nucleotide ribosomal RNA is filed under the name uncultured Flavobacterium sp. RNAcentral describes it as "bacterial SSU rRNA". It matches the Rfam family "Bacterial small subunit ribosomal RNA", at positions 110 to 845 of the family's 1533-position model. The record is from RNAcentral. Lineage: Bacteria; Pseudomonadati; Bacteroidota; Flavobacteriia; Flavobacteriales; Flavobacteriaceae.
GUAACGCGUAUGCAAUCUACCUUUCACAGAGGGAUAGCCCAGAGAAAUUUGGAUUAAUACCUCAUAGUAUAUUGGUCUCGCAUGAGAUCAUUAUUAAAGAUUUAUCGGUGAAAGAUGAGCAUGCGUCCCAUUAGUUAGUUGGUAAGGUAACGGCUUACCAAGACUACGAUGGGUAGGGGUCCUGAGAGGGAGAUCCCCCACACUGGUACUGAGACACGGACCAGACUCCUACGGGAGGCAGCAGUGAGGAAUAUUGGACAAUGGGCGCAAGCCUGAUCCAGCCAUGCCGCGUGCAGGAUGACGGUCCUAUGGAUUGUAAACUGCUUUUAUACGAGAAGAAACACUGGUUCGUGAACCAGCUUGACGGUAUCGUAAGAAUAAGGAUCGGCUAACUCCGUGCCAGCAGCCGCGGUAAUACGGAGGAUCCAAGCGUUAUCCGGAAUCAUUGGGUUUAAAGGGUCCGUAGGCGGUCAGAUAAGUCAGUGGUGAAAGCCCAUCGCUCAACGGUGGAACGGCCAUUGAUACUGUCUGACUUGAAUUAUUAGGAAGUAACUAGAAUAUGUAGUGUAGCGGUGAAAUGCUUAGAGAUUACAUGGAAUACCAAUUGCGAAGGCAGGUUACUACUAAUGGAUUGACGCUGAUGGACGAAAGCGUGGGUAGCGAACAGGAUUAGAUACCCUGGUAGUCCACGCCGUAAACGAUGGAUACUAGCUGUUGGGAGCAAUCUCAGUG